This 1431-nucleotide long non-coding RNA is filed under the name Marmota monax (woodchuck). Lineage: Eukaryota; Metazoa; Chordata; Mammalia; Rodentia; Sciuridae. The record is from RNAcentral.
GUAGUGGAAUUGCUGGAUCAGAUGGCACUUCUAUUUUUAAUUUUUUGAGGAGAGCACAAUGCCAUUGCCUGCUUCCCCCGACCUCAUCAGACACCCUGGCACUGGAAGCAAACUGCCUCCAUCCUGGUUCACCUUUCUCACCAUAUUUGGUGGGAGCAGCUCCCAGAUCGGAUGAGAGAUCUGGUCAUGAGAGAUCUUGGAACCCUACAGAGCUGGAAAGGAAGACACAUGAGCAACAUGAAAAGACAAGGGAAGAAAGUGCCCCAAACAAAUCAAGAUACCACAUCAUUAGAAUCAUUGGCAGUCACAGCUGGAGAAAUUACAAAGAAGGAGUUCAGGAUGUACAUGUUUAAAUGUUCUGUGAACUCAAGGAAGUUAUAAAAGAGCAAAUACAGGCAGUGAAAGAUCACUUCGACAAGGAGCUACAUAAACAAAUAUAAGAAGCAAAAGAUAACCUCAACAGGGAGAGAGAGGUUCUAAAAAAAGAACUAAAAAGAAAUCAUUUAAAUCAAAGAAACAGUAAACCAAAUUAAAAGCUCAAAUGAAAGCAUCACCAACAGAGUAGACUACUUGGAAGAUAGGACAUCAGACGAGGAAGAUAAAAUAUACAAUCUUGAAAAGAACAUAGACCCACAUAGUGAUAAUGGUAAGAAACCAUGAGCAGAACAUUCAAGAAAUAUGGGAUAGCAUCAAAAGACCAAAUUUAAUAGUUAUUGGCAUAGAGGAAGGCAUAGAUGUCCAAACCAAAGGAAUGAACAAUCUAUAAAAUGAAAUAAUAUCAGAAAACUUUCCAAACAUGAAGAAUGAAUUGGAAACCCAAAUUCAAGAAGCCUACAGGAUGCUGAAUGUACAAAAUCAUAACAGAUCCGCACCAAGGCACAUUAUAACAAAAAUGCCCAACAUAUAGAAUGAGUAGAGAAUUUUAAAAGCCACGAGAGAAAGGAAUCAAAUUAUAUAUAUGGGAAACCCAAGUAGGAUAAUGGCAGAUUUUUUAACACAGACCCUGAAAGCUAGAAGAUCCUGGAACAAUAUAUAUCAAGUUCUGAAAGAAAAUGGGUGCCAACCAAAAUCUAGUAUCCAGCAAAAUUAAGCUUUAGAUUUGAAGAUGAAAUAAAAACCUUCCCUGAUAAGCAAAAGUUAAAAGAAUUUAUAGCUAGAAAAACAUCACUAUAAAACAUCCUUGGAAAAAUAUUCCAUGAAGAGGAAACGAAAAACAAUAAUGAAAAUCAACAGAGGGAGGUAGUACCCUAAAGGAAAAACUAAUCAAAGAAGAAAACUAAGUCAAGUUAAAUAACAAAAAUAAACAAAUAUGGCUGAGAAUACAAACCAUGUCUCAAUAACUCUGAAUGUUAAUGGCUUAAACUCACCAAUCAAAGGCAUAGGCUACCAGAUUGGAUUUUAAAAAAUACUCAACAAUAUGCUGCCUCCAGG